This 73-nucleotide transfer RNA is filed under the name Mus musculus (house mouse). RNAcentral's name for it is "tRNA-Ser". The record is from RNAcentral. Lineage: Eukaryota; Metazoa; Chordata; Mammalia; Rodentia; Muridae.
GGAGAGAUGGCUCAGUGGUUAAGAGCACUGACUGCUCUUCCAAAGGUCCUGAGUUCAAAUCCCAGCAACCGCA